Molecule: long non-coding RNA, 6445 nt
Organism: Oncorhynchus keta (chum salmon)
Lineage: Eukaryota; Metazoa; Chordata; Actinopteri; Salmoniformes; Salmonidae
Exons: 8
Source: RefSeq, a predicted model, not a curated record
AUAACAUGGCUAUAUACAGGGAGGUAAUAACAUGGCUAUAUACAGGGAGUACCAGGUAAUAACAUGGUUAUAUACAGGGAGUACCAGGUAAUAACAUGGUUAUAUACAGGAAGUACCAGGUAAUAACAUGGUUAUAUACAGGAAGUACCAGGUAAUAACACGGUUAUAUACAGGGAGUACCAGGUAAUAACAUGGCUAUAUACAGGUAAUAACAUGGCUAUAUACAGGAAGUACCAGGUAAUAACAUGGUUAUAUACAGGGAGUACCAGGUAAUAACAUGGUUAUAUACAGGUAAUAACAUGGCUAUAUACAGGAAGUACCAGGUAAUAACAUGGCUAUAUACAGGGAGUACCAGGUAAUAACUUGGUUAUAUACAGGGAGUACCAGGUAAUAACAUGGCUAUAUACAGGGAGUACCAGGUAAUAACAUGACUAUAUACAGGUAAUAACAUGGCUUUAUACAGGGAGUACCAGGUAAUGACAUGGCUCACCGAGGUGAGGUUAGCUCACAGAGGUACGGUUAGCUCACAGAGGUGAGGUUAGCUCACAGAGGUACAGUUAGCUCACAGUGGUGAGGUUAGCUCACAGUGGUAGUGGUAAGGUUAGCUCACCGAGGUACAGUUAGCUCACAGUGGUAGUGGUAAGGCUAGCUCACAGAGGUGAGGUUAGCUCACAGAGGUAGUGGUAAGGCUAGCUCACAGAGGUGAGGUUAGCUCCCAGAGGUGAGGUUAGCUCACAGAGGUACAGUUAGCUCACAGUGGUAGUGGUAAGGCUAGCUCACAGAGGUGAGGUUAGCUCACAGAGGUGAGGUUAGCUCACAGUGGUAGUGGUAAGGUUAGCUCACCGAGGUACAGUUAGCUCACAGUGGUAGUGGUAAGGCUAGCUCACAGAGGUGAGGUUAGCUCACAGAGGUGAGGUUAGCUCACAGAGGUACAGUUAGCUCACAGUGGUAGUGGUAAGGCUAGCUCACAGAGGUAGUGGUAAGGCUAGCUCACAGAGGUACAGUUAGCUCACAGUGAUAGUGGUAAGGUUAGCUCACAGAGGUGAGGUUAGCUCACAGAGGUGAGGUUAGCUCACAGAGGUACGGCGCCCAGUUCAUGUUAGUUCUAGAUCUGUCACUCUCACUGACAGCAAGUCUCUCUUUACCGACCAAAUUCACAUAGAAAUGUUAGUUCUAGAUCUGUCACUCUCACUGACAGCAUGUCUCUCUGCAGGUUACUGACCAAAUGCACGGAGAAAUUUUAGUUCUAGAUCUGUCAGCCUCAUUGCCAGUCUCUCUGCAGGUUGUGAGAACCCCAAGCCCCGUCAGCCUCAUUGCCAGUCUCUAUGCAGGUUGUGAGAACCCCAAGCCCUGUCAGUCUCAUUGAGAGUCUCUCUCUAGGUUGUGAGAACCCCAAGCCCUGUCAGUCUCAUUGAGAGUCUCUCUGCAGGUUGUGAUAACCCCAAGCCCUGUCAGUCUCAUCAUUGCCAGUCUCUCUGCAGGUUGUGAGAACCCCAAGCCCUGUCGGUCUCAUUGAGAGUCUCUCUGCAGUUUGUGAGAACCCCAAGCCCUGUCAGUCUCAUUGAGAGUCUCUCUGCAGGUUGUGAGAACCCCAAGCCCUGUCAGUCUCAUUGCCAGUCUCUCUGCAGGUUGUGAGAACCCCAAGCCCUGUCAGUCUCAUUGAGAGUCUCUCUGCAGGUUGUGAGAACCCCAAGCCCUGUCAGUCUCAUUGAGAGUCUCUCUGCAGGUUGUGAGAACCCCAAGCCCUGUCAGUCUCAUUGCCAGUCUCUCUGCAGGUUGUGAGAACCCCAAGCCCUGUCAGUCUCAUUGAGAGUCUCUCUGCAGGUUGUGAGAACCCCAAGCCCUGUCAGUCUCAUUGAGAGUCUCUCUGCAGGUUGUGAGAACCCCAAGCCCUGUCGGUCUCAUUGAGAGUCUCUCUGCAGGUUGUGAGAACCCCAAGCCCUGUCGGUCUCAUUGAGAGUCUCUCUGCAGGUUGUGAGAACCCCAAGCCCUGUCGGUCUCAUUGAGAGUCUCUCUGCAGGUUGUGAGAACCCCAAGCCCUGUCAGUCUCAUUGAGAGUCUCUCUGCAGGUUGUGAGAACCCCAAGCCCUGUCGGUCUCAUUGAGAGUCUCUCUGCAGGUUGUGAGAACCCCAAGCCCUGUCGGUCUCAUUGAGAGUCUCUCUGCAGGUUGUGAGAACCCCAAGCCCUGUCAGUCUCAUUGAGAGUCUCUCUGCAGGUUGUGAGAACCCCAAGCCCUGUCAGUCUCAUUGAGAGUCUCUCUGCAGGUUGUGAGAACCCCAAGCCCUGUCAGUCUCAUUGAGAGUCUCUCUGCAGGUUGUGAGAACCCCAAGCCCUGUCGGUCUCAUUGAGAGUCUCUCUGCAGGUUGUGAGAACCCCAAGCCCUGUCAGUCUCAUUGCCAGUCUCUCUGCAGGUUGUGAGAACCCCAAGCCCUGUCAGUCUCAUUGCCAGUCUCUCUGCAGGUUGUGAGAACCCCAAGCCCUGUCAGUCUCAUUGAGAGUCUCUCUGCAGGUUGUGAGAACCCCAAGCCCUGUCAGUCUCAUUGAGAGUCUCUCUGCAGGUUGUGAGAACCCCAAGCCCUGUCGGUCUCAUUGAGAGUCUCUCUGCAGGUUGUGAGAACCCCAAGCCCUGUCGGUCUCAUUGAGAGUCUCUCUGCAGGUUGUGAGAACCCCAAGCCCUGUCGGUCUCAUUGAGAGUCUCUCUGCAGGUUGUGAGAACCCCAAGCCCUGUCAGUCUCAUUGAGAGUCUCUCUGCAGGUUGUGAGAACCCCAAGCCCUGUCGGUCUCAUUGAGAGUCUCUCUGCAGGUUGUGAGAACCCCAAGCCCUGUCGGUCUCAUUGAGAGUCUCUCUGCAGGUUGUGAGAACCCCAAGCCCUGUCAGUCUCAUUGAGAGUCUCUCUGCAGGUUGUGAGAACCCCAAGCCCUGUCAGUCUCAUUGAGAGUCUCUCUGCAGGUUGUGAGAACCCCAAGCCCUGUCAGUCUCAUUGAGAGUCUCUCUGCAGGUUGUGAGAACCCCAAGCCCUGUCGGUCUCAUUGAGAGUCUCUCUGCAGGUUGUGAGAACCCCAAGCCCUGUCAGUCUCAUUGCCAGUCUCUCUGCAGGUUGUGAGAACCCCAAGCCCUGUCGGUCUCAUUGAGAGUCUCUCUGCAGGUUGUGAGAACCCCAAGCCCUGUCAGUCUCAUUGAGAGUCUCUCUGUGCAGGUUGUGAGAACCCCAAGCCCUGUCAGUCUCAUUGAGAGUCUCUCUGUGCAGGUUGUGAGAACCCCAAGCCCUGUCAGUCUCAUUGAGAGUCUCUCUGCAGGUUGUGAGAACCCCAAGCCCUGUCGGUCUCAUUGAGAGUCUCUCUGCAGGUUGUGAGAACCCCAAGCCCUGUCAGUCUCAUUGAGAGUCUCUCUGCAGGUUGUGAGAACCCCAAGCCCUGUCAGUCUCAUUGCCAGUCUCUCUGCAGGUUGUGAGAACCCCAAGCCCUGUCGGUCUCAUUGAGAGUCUCUCUGCAGGUUGUGAGAACCCCAAGCCCUGUCAGUCUCAUUGAGAGUCUCUCUGCAGGUUGUGAGAACCCCAAGCCCUGUCAGUCUCAUUGAGAGUCUCUCUGCAGGUUGUGAGAACCCCAAGCCCUGUCAGUCUCAUUGAGAGUCUCUCUGCAGGUUGUGAGAACCCCAAGCCCUGUCAGUCUCAUUGAGAGUCUCUCUGCAGGUUGUGAGAACCCCAAGCCCUGUCAGUCUCAUUGAGAGUCUCUCUGCAGGUUGUGAGAACCCCAAGCCCUGUCAGUCUCAUUGAGAGUCUCUCUGCAGGUUGUGAGAACCCCAAGCCCUGUCAGUCUCAUUGAGAGUCUCUCUGCAGGUUGUGAGAACCCCAAGCCCUGUCGGUCUCAUUGAGAGUCUCUCUGCAGGUUGUGAGAACCCCAAGCCCUGUCAGUCUCAUUGAGAGUCUCUCUGCAGGUUGUGAGAACCCCAAGCCCUGUCAGUCUCAUUGCCAGUCUCUCUGCAGGUUGUGAGAACCCCAAGCCCUGUCAGUCUCAUUGAGAGUCUCUCUGCAGGUUGUGAGAACCCCAAGCCCUGUCAGUCUCAUUGAGAGUCUCUCUGCAGGUUGUGAGAACCCCAAGCCCUGUCAGUCUCAUUGAGAGUCUCUCUGCAGGUUGUGAGAACCCCAAGCCCUGUCAGUCUCAUUGCCAGUCUCUCUGCAGGUUGUGAGAACCCCAAGCCCUGUCAGUCUCAUUGCCAGUCUCUCUGCAGGUUGUGAGAACCCCAAGCCCUGUCAGUCUCAUUGAGAGUCUCUCUGCAGGUUGUGAGAACCCCAAGCCCUGUCAGUCUCAUUGAGAGUCUCUCUGCAGGUUGUGAGAACCCCAAGCCCUGUCAGUCUCAUUGAGAGUCUCUCUGCAGGUUGUGAGAACCCCAAGCCCUGUCUGUCUCAUUGAGAGUCUCUCUGCAGGUUGUGAGAACCCCAAGCCCUGUCAGUCUCAUUGAGAGUCUCUCUGCAGGUUGUGAGAACCCCAAGCCCUGUCAGUCUCAUUGAGAGUCUCUCUGCAGGUUGUGAGAACCCCAAGCCCUGUCAGUCUCAUUGAGAGUCUCUCUGCAGGUUGUGAGAACCCCAAGCCCUGUCAGUCUCAUUGAGAGUCUCUCUGCAGGUUGUGAGAACCCCAAGCCCUGUCAAUCUCAUUGAGAGUCUCUCUGCAGGUUGUGAGAACCCCAAACCCUGUCAGUCUCAUUGAGAGUCUCUCUGCAGGUUGUGAGAACCCCAAGCCCUGUCAGUCUCAUUGAGAGUCUCUCUGCAGGUUGUGAGAACCCCAAGCCCUGUCGGUCUCAUUGAGAGUCUCUCUGCAGGUUGUGAGAACCCCAAGCCCUGUCGGUCUCAUUGAGAGUCUCUCUGCAGGUUGUGAGAACCCCAAGCCCUGUCAGUCUCAUUGAGAGUCUCUCUGCAGGUUGUGAGAACCCCAAGCCCUGUCAGUCUCAUUGCCAGUCUCUCUGCAGGUUGUGAGAACCCCAAGCCCUGUCAGUCUCAUUGCCAGUCUCUCUGCAGGUUGUGAGAACCCCAAGCCCUGUCAGUCUCAUUGAGAGUCUCUCUGCAGGUUGUGAUAACCCCAAGCCCUGUCAGUCUCAUCAUUGCCAGUCUCUCUGCAGGUUGUGAGAACCCCAAGCCCUGUCGGUCUCAUUGAGAGUCUCUCUGCAGUUUGUGAGAACCCCAAGCCCUGUCAGUCUCAUUGAGAGUCUCUCUGCAGGUUGUGAGAACCCCAAGCCCUGUCAGUCUCAUUGCCAGUCUCUCUGCAGGUUGUGAGAACCCCAAGCCCUGUCAGUCUCAUUGAGAGUCUCUCUGCAGGUUGUGAGAACCCCAAGCCCUGUCAGUCUCAUUGAGAGUCUCUCUGCAGGUUGUGAGAACCCCAAGCCCUGUCGGUCUCAUUGCCAGUCUCUCUGCAGGUUGUGAGAACCCCAAGCCCUGUCAGUCUCAUUGAGAGUCUCUCUGCAGGUUGUGAGAACCCCAAGCCCUGUCGGUCUCAUUGAGAGUCUCUCUGCAGGUUGUGAGAACCCCAAGCCCUGUCGGUCUCAUUGAGAGUCUCUCUGCAGGUUGUGAGAACCCCAAGCCCUGUCAGUCUCAUUGAGAGUCUCUCUGCAGGUUGUGAGAACCCCAAGCCCUGUCAGUCUCAUUGAGAGUCUCUCUGCAGGUUGUGAUAACCCCAAGCCCUGUCGGUCUCAUUGAGAGUCUCUCUGCAGGUUGUGAGAACCCCAAGCCCUGUCGGUCUCAUUGAGAGUCUCUCUGCAGGUUGUGAGAACCCCAAGCCCUGUCAGUCUCAUUGAGAGUCUCUCUGCAGGUUGUGAGAACCCCAAGCCCUGUCGGUCUCAUUGAGAGUCUCUCUGCAGGUUGUGAGAACCCCAAGCCCUGUCGGUCUCAUUGAGAGUCUCUCUGCAGGUUGUGAGAACCCCAAGCCCUGUCGGUCUCAUUGAGAGUCUCUCUGCAGGUUGUGAGAACCCCAAGCCCUGUCAGUCUCAUUGAGAGUCUCUCUGCAGGUUGUGAGAACCCCAAGCCCUGUCAGUCUCAUUGAGAGUCUCUCUGCAGGUUGUGAGAACCCCAAGCCCUGUCAGUCUCAUUGAGAGUCUCUCUGCAGGUUGUGAGAACCCCAAGCCCUGUCAGUCUCAUUGAGAGUCUCUCUGCAGGUUGUGAGAACCCCAAGCCCUGUCAGUCUCAUUGAGAGUCUCUCUGCAGGUUGUGAGAACCCCAAGCCCUGUCAGUCUCAUUGAGAGUCUCUCUGCAGGUUGUGAGAACCCCAAGCCCUGUCAGUCUCAUUGAGAGUCUCUCUGCAGGUUGUGAGAACCCCAAGCCCUGUCGGUCUCAUUGAGAGUCUCUCUGCAGGUUGUGAGAACCCCAAGCCCUGUCAGUCUCAUUGAGAGUCUCUCUGCAGGUUGUGAGAACCCCAAGCCCUGUCAGUCUCAUUGAGAGUCUCUCUGCAGGUUGUGAG